RNAcentral lists this transfer RNA (75 nucleotides) under Candidatus Woesearchaeota archaeon. RNAcentral's name for it is "tRNA-Arg". It matches the Rfam family "tRNA". From Rfam's summary of the family: Transfer RNA (tRNA) molecules are approximately 80 nucleotides in length. Their secondary structure includes four short double-helical elements and three loops (D, anti-codon, and T loops). Lineage: Archaea; Nanobdellati; Candidatus Woesearchaeota. The record is from RNAcentral.
GGACCUGUGGCCCAGUCUGGAUAGGGCGAUUGCCUCCUAAGCAAUAGGUCGGGAGUUCGAAUCUCCCCAGGUCCG